GACGAACGCUGGCGGCGUGCUUAACACAUGCAAGUCGAACGGAAAGGCCCUGCUUUUGUGGGGUGCUCGAGUGGCGAACGGGUGAGUAACACGUGAGUAACCUGCCCUUGACUUUGGGAUAACUUCAGGAAACUGGGGCUAAUACCGGAUAGGAGCUCCUGCUGCAUGGUGGGGGUUGGAAAGUCUCGGCGGUUGGGGAUGGACGCGCGGCUUAUCAGCUUGUUGGUGGGGUAGUGGCUUACCAAGGCUUUGACGGGUAGCCGGCCUGAGAGGGUGACCGGCCACAUGGGGACUGAGAGACGGCCCAGACUCCUACGGGAGGCAGCAGUGGGGAAUAUUGCACAAUGGGCGGAAGCCUGAUGCAGCAACGCCGCGUGCGGGAUGACGGCCUUCGGGUUGUAAACCGCUUUCGCCUGUGACGAAGCGUGAGUGACGGUAAUGGGUAAAGAAGCACCGGCUAACUACGUG
Molecule: ribosomal RNA, 468 nt
Filed under: uncultured bacterium
Lineage: Bacteria
Description: partial 16S ribosomal RNA
Rfam family: Bacterial small subunit ribosomal RNA
Source: RNAcentral